AGAGUUUGAUCCUGGCUCAGAAUGAACGCUGGCGGCGUGCUUUACACAUGCAAGUCGAGCGAGGCGGCCCGCAAGGGUCAGUCGAGCGGCGAACGGGUGAGUAACGCGUGGAUAACCUGCCCAGAGGUGGGGGAUAACCCGGGGAAACUCGGGCUAAUACCGCAUGAUACCGAAAGGUCAAAGGCGGCUCGCAAGGGCUGUCGCCAUUGGAGGGGUCCGCGUCCGAUUAGCUAGUUGGUAGGGUAAUGGCCUACCAAGGCGACGAUCGGUAGCCGGCCUGAGAGGGUGAUCGGCCACACUGGAACUGAGACACGGUCCAGACUCCUACGGGAGGCAGCAGUGGGGAAUUUUGCGCAAUGGGCUAACGCCUGACGCAGCAACGCCGCGUGGAGGAUGAAG
Molecule: ribosomal RNA, 399 nt
Filed under: uncultured bacterium
Lineage: Bacteria
Description: bacterial SSU rRNA
Rfam family: Bacterial small subunit ribosomal RNA
Source: RNAcentral